GACGUAGGGGGCGAGCGUUGUCCGGAUUUAUUGGGCGUAAAGAGCUCGUAGGCGGUUUGUCGCGUCGACUGUGAAAACCCGAGGCUUAACCUCGGGCCUGCAGUCGAUACGGGCAGACUAGAGUUCGGUAGGGGAGACUGGAAUUCCUGGUGUAGCGGUGAAAUGCGCAGAUAUCAGGAGGAACACCGGUGGCGAAGGCGGGUCUCUGGGCCGAUACUGACGCUGAGGAGCGAAAGCGUGGGGAGCGAACAGG
RNAcentral lists this ribosomal RNA (253 nucleotides) under uncultured bacterium. Its description in RNAcentral is "partial 16S ribosomal RNA". It matches the Rfam family "Bacterial small subunit ribosomal RNA", at positions 524 to 776 of the family's 1533-position model. The record is from RNAcentral.